AACGCUGGCGGCGUGCCUAAUACAUGCAAGUCGAGCGAAUGGAUUGAGAGCUUGCUCUCAAGAAGUUAGCGGCGGACGGGUGAGUAACACGUGGGUAACCUGCCCAUAAGACUGGGAUAACUCCGGGAAACCGGGGCUAAUACCGGAUAAUAUUUUGAACUGCAUGGUUCGAAAUUGAAAGGCGGCUUCGGCUGUCACUUAUGGAUGGACCCGCGUCGCAUUAGCUAGUUGGUGAGGUAACGGCUCACCAAGGCAACGAUGCGUAGCCGACCUGAGAGGGUGAUCGGCCACACUGGGACUGAGACACGGCCCAGACUCCUACGGGAGGCAGCAGUAGGGAAUCUUCCGCAAUGGACGAAAGUCUGACGGAGCAACGCCGCGUGAGUGAUGAAGGCUUUCGGGUCGUAAAACUCUGUUGUUAGGGAAGAACAAGUGCUAGUUGAAUAAGCUGGCACCUUGACGGUACCUAACCAGAAAGCCACGGCUAACUACGUGCCAGCAGCCGCGGUAAUACGUAGGUGGCAAGCGUUAUCCGGAAUUAUUGGGCGUAAAGCGCGCGCAGGUGGUUUCUUAAGUCUGAUGUGAAAGCCCACGGCUCAACCGUGGAGGGUCAUUGGAAACUGGGAGACUUGAGUGCAGAAGAGGAAAGUGGAAUUCCAUGUGUAGCGGUGAAAUGCGUAGAGAUAUGGAGGAACACCAGUGGCGAAGGCGACUUUCUGGUCUGUAACUGACACUGAGGCGCGAAAGCGUGGGGAGCAAACAGGGAUUAGAUACCCUGGUAGUCCACGCCUUAACGAUGAAUGCUAAUUGUUAA
This 814-nucleotide ribosomal RNA is filed under the name uncultured Bacillus sp. RNAcentral's name for it is "bacterial SSU rRNA". It matches the Rfam family "Bacterial small subunit ribosomal RNA", at positions 32 to 826 of the family's 1533-position model. Lineage: Bacteria; Bacillati; Bacillota; Bacilli; Caryophanales; Bacillaceae. The record is from RNAcentral.